UUUUAUGGAGAGUUUGAUCCUGGCUCAGGAUGAACGCUGGCGGCGUGCCUAAUACAUGCAAGUCGAGCGAACGGACGAGAAGCUUGCUUCUCUGAUGUUAGCGGCGGACGGGUGAGUAACACGUGGAUAACCUACCUAUAAGACUGGGAUAACUUCGGGAAACCGGAGCUAAUACCGGAUAAUAUUUUGAACCGCAUGGUUCAAAAGUGAAAGACGGUCUUGCUGUCACUUAUAGAUGGAUCCGCGCUGCAUUAGCUAGUUGGUAAGGUAACGGCUUACCAAGGCAACGAUGCAUAGCCGACCUGAGAGGGUGAUCGGCCACACUGGAACUGAGACACGGUCCAGACUCCUACGGGAGGCAGCAGUAGGGAAUCUUCCGCAAUGGGCGAAAGCCUGACGGAGCAACGCCGCGUGAGUGAUGAAGGUCUUCGGAUCGUAAAACUCUGUUAUUAGGGAAGAACAUAUGUGUAAGUAACUGUGCACAUCUUGACGGUACCUAAUCAGAAAGCCACGGCUAACUACGUGCCAGCAGCCGCGGUAAUACGUAGGUGGCAAGCGUUAUCCGGAAUUA
Molecule: ribosomal RNA, 571 nt
Filed under: Staphylococcus aureus
Lineage: Bacteria; Bacillati; Bacillota; Bacilli; Caryophanales; Staphylococcaceae
Description: bacterial SSU rRNA
Rfam family: Bacterial small subunit ribosomal RNA
Source: RNAcentral